AUUGAACGCUGGCGGCAUGCCUUACACAUGCAAGUCGAACGGCAGCACGGGAGCAAUCCUGGUGGCGAGUGGCGAACGGGUGAGUAAAGUAUCGGAACGUGCCCAGUCGUGGGGGAUAACGUAGCGAAAGUUACGCUAAUACCGCAUACGAUCUAUGGAUGAAAGCGGGGGAUCGCAAGACCUCGCGCGAUGGGAGCGGCCGAUAUCAGAUGAGGUAGUUGGUGGGGUAAAGGCUCACCAAGCCGACGAUCUGUAGCUGGUCUGAGAGGACGACCAGCCGCACUGGGACUGAGACACGGCCCAGACUCCUACGGGAGGCAGCAGUGGGGAAUUUUGGACAAUGGGCGAAAGCCUGAUCCAGCCAUGCCGCGUGCAGGAUGAAGGCCUUCGGGUUGUAAACUGCUUUUGUACGGAACGAAAAGGUUUGGCCUAAUAAGCUGAGCUCAUGACGGUACCGUAAGAAUAAGCACCGGCUAACUACGUGCCAGCCGCCGCCGUAA
Molecule: ribosomal RNA, 500 nt
Filed under: uncultured bacterium
Lineage: Bacteria
Description: partial 16S ribosomal RNA
Rfam family: Bacterial small subunit ribosomal RNA
Source: RNAcentral